This 407-nucleotide ribosomal RNA is filed under the name uncultured bacterium. RNAcentral describes it as "partial 16S ribosomal RNA". It matches the Rfam family "Bacterial small subunit ribosomal RNA", at positions 338 to 742 of the family's 1533-position model. The record is from RNAcentral.
CCUACGGGGGACAGCAGUGAGGAAUAGUGGUCAAUGGACGAGAGUCUGAACCAGCCAAGUAGCGUGAAGGAUGACUGCCCUAUGGGUUGUAAACUUCUUUUAUAGGGGAAUAAAAUGUUCCACGUGUGGGAUUUUGUAUGUACUUUAUGAAUAAGGAUCGGCUAACUCCGUGCCAGCAGCCGCGGUAAUACGGAGGAUCCGAGCGUUAUCCGGAUUGAUUGGGUUUCAAGGGAGCGUAGAUGGGUUGUUCAGUCAGUUGUGAAAGUUUGCGGCUCAACCGUAAACUUGCAAUUGAUCCUGGCAGUCUUGAGUCCAGUUGAGGUCGGCUGCAUUCGUGGUGUAGCGGUGCCAUGCUUCGCUAUCACGCAUAACUCCGCUUGCGCAGGCAGCUUACUCCACUUCCUCUG